Poecile atricapillus (Black-capped chickadee) is the source of this 368-nucleotide long non-coding RNA. RefSeq lists it as uncharacterized. The record is from RefSeq and is a predicted model, not a curated record. The transcript is spliced from 3 exons. NCBI's taxonomy places the organism in Eukaryota, Metazoa, Chordata, Aves, Passeriformes, Paridae.
AAAGCAUUCACCAUGGAGAAGAAUUUUGUGUUCAGCUUCUCAACCCUUGGCCUGCAUUGCCUCAAGGUGCUUUGAACAGCUCUGAAACUGGAAGCACUGCUUGUUCCCAGGAAUCAUCAGUGCCUGACCUUAAACCACAGCCUAACAGGCUCCAAGGGAUCCUCCCUGCCUGGGGUGUUGUUUGUGGGACUGCUGGUGGCUCUGCAGCCUGGAUCCCAAGGAGUGUUCCCAUCCCAUCACCACUGCCUGCCAGCAUCGGGAUCACGGCCACCCAGGGAGUUGGACAUCAUGGAGCUGGACACACACCAGGGUAGGUAAUGGAUGUGAUCCCCAAAAUUGGAAAAGCCAGCAUGAAAACUCUGACUCAG